AACCUGCCCAAGAGAUCGGGAUAACACCUGGAAACAGAUGCUAAUACCGGAUAACAACAGAUGAUGCCUAUCAACUGUUUAAAAGAUGGUUCUGCUAUCACUCUUGGAUGGACCUGCGGUGCAUUAGCUAGUUGGUAGGGUAACGGCCUACCAAGGCGAUGAUGCAUAGCCGAGUUGAGAGACUGAUCGGCCACAUUGGGACUGAGACACGGCCCAAACUCCUACGGGAGGGCAGCAGC
This 239-nucleotide ribosomal RNA is filed under the name uncultured Lactobacillus sp. RNAcentral's name for it is "partial 16S ribosomal RNA". It matches the Rfam family "Bacterial small subunit ribosomal RNA", at positions 123 to 355 of the family's 1533-position model. The record is from RNAcentral. Lineage: Bacteria; Bacillati; Bacillota; Bacilli; Lactobacillales; Lactobacillaceae.